CGUAGCCGGCGCCGAGCGCGGUGGGAGAGCAGCGGGUACCCGGCUGGCUCGGCUGGCGGCCUCUGCCCGCACCUCGGCGCCGCAAGCCCCGCGCCUCGCCCGCCCUUGGCUUCGGGGGGUCCGAGGCCGCUGGUAAUAGAGGGGCCGGCGGAGCCCGGCACUGCUGGAG
Molecule: long non-coding RNA, 169 nt
Filed under: Meriones unguiculatus (Mongolian gerbil)
Lineage: Eukaryota; Metazoa; Chordata; Mammalia; Rodentia; Muridae
Description: lncRNA (ENSMUGG00000024527.1)
Source: RNAcentral